UACGUAGGGGGCUAGCGUUGUCCGGAAUCAUUGGGCGUAAAGCGCGUGUAGGCGGUCCGGUAAGUCCGCUGUGAAAGUCGGGGGCUCAACCCUCGGAUGCCGGUGGAUACUGUCGGGCUUGAGUACGGAAGAGGCGAGUGGAAUUCCUGGUGUAGCGGUGAAAUGCGCAGAUAUCAGGAGGAACACCUAUAGCGAAGGCAGCCUGCUGGGACGUUACUGACGCUAAGGCGCGAAAGCGUGGGGAGCGAACAGG
Molecule: ribosomal RNA, 253 nt
Filed under: uncultured bacterium
Lineage: Bacteria
Description: partial 16S ribosomal RNA
Rfam family: Bacterial small subunit ribosomal RNA
Source: RNAcentral